This 253-nucleotide ribosomal RNA is filed under the name uncultured bacterium. RNAcentral describes it as "partial 16S ribosomal RNA". It matches the Rfam family "Bacterial small subunit ribosomal RNA", at positions 524 to 776 of the family's 1533-position model. The record is from RNAcentral.
UACGUAGGGUGCGAGCGUUAAUCGGAAUUACUGGGCGUAAAGCGUGCGCAGGCGGUUUUUUAAGCCCGAUGUGAAAUCCCCGGGCUUAACCUGGGAAUGGCAUUUGGGACUGCAAGGCUGGAGUUUGGCAGAGGAGACUGGAAUUCCCGGUGUAGCAGUGAAAUGCGUAGAUAUCGGGAGGAAUACCGAUGGCGAAGGCGGCAUCCUGGACCGGCAUUGACGCUGAGGAGCGAAAGCUAGGGGAGCAAACGGG